UCAAUCGUUUUCGGGAAGAAUUUUGUUU
This 28-nucleotide small RNA is filed under the name Bombyx mori (domestic silkworm). Its description in RNAcentral is "ovarian small RNA-24843". The record is from RNAcentral. Lineage: Eukaryota; Metazoa; Arthropoda; Insecta; Lepidoptera; Bombycidae.